GACAGAGUAGGCGGACGGGGGAGUAAUGUCUGGGGAAACUGGCCUGAUGGAGGGGGAUAACUACUGGAAACGGUAGCUAAUACCGCAUAACGUCGCAAGACCAAAGAGGGGGACCUUCGGGCCUCUUGCCAUCGGAUGUGCCCAGAUGGGAUUAGCUAGUAGGUGGGGUAACGGCUCACCUAGGCGACGAUCCCUAGCUGGUCUGAGAGGAUGACCAGCCACACUGGAACUGAGACACGGUCCAGACUCCUACGGGAGGCAGCAGUGGGGAAUAUUGCACAAUGGGCGCAAGCCUGAUGCAGCCAUGCCGCGUGUAUGAAGAAGGCCUUCGGGUUGUAAAGUACUUUCAGCGGGGAGGAAGGCGAUAAGGUUAAUAACCUUGUCGAUUGACGUUACCCGCAGAAGAAGCACCGGCUAACUCCGUGCCAGCAGCCGCGGUAAUACGGAGGGUGCAAGCGUUAAUCGGAAUUACUGGGCGUAAAGCGCACGCAGGCGGUCUGUCAAGUCGGAUGUGAAAUCCCCGGGCUCAACCUGGGAACUGCAUUCGAAACUGGCAGGCUAGAGUCUUGUAGAGGGGGGUAGAAUUCCAGGUGUAGCGGUGAAAUGCGUAGAGAUCUGGAGGAAUACCGGUGGCGAAGGCGGCCCCCUGGACAAAGACUGACGCUCAGGUGCGAAAGCGUGGGGGAGCAAACAGGAUUAGAUACCCUGGUAGUCCACGCCGUAAACGAUGUCGACUUGGAGGUUGUGCCCUUGAGGCGUGGCCUUCCGGAGCUAACG
RNAcentral lists this ribosomal RNA (777 nucleotides) under Enterobacter hormaechei subsp. xiangfangensis. RNAcentral describes it as "bacterial SSU rRNA". It matches the Rfam family "Bacterial small subunit ribosomal RNA", at positions 88 to 857 of the family's 1533-position model. Lineage: Bacteria; Pseudomonadati; Pseudomonadota; Gammaproteobacteria; Enterobacterales; Enterobacteriaceae. The record is from RNAcentral.